CGUCCCCAAAAUGGUCAAUGUGGGUAAAGGCAGCGGCGUAAAUCAGGCGCUUUUGAGAAGAAGAAAACGAAACAAAACGAUGAGAUAGGAAUUCCGAUUUCAACGUUGGAUUGGAUUCAGGACAAAUGUGUCGUUAAGGGUUUUCAUUUAUCCUAUCUUUUCCUGGAACAUCUAAAUGCUUUUCUUUUCAACUUGUCUAAAUCUAUCAUAUAUGUAUGUCUAAUCGGCGCUGUAUGGGUCGUAAUCCUCUCCUGAGUAUCCUCACCAGUCCCUAUCCUUUUAUUAAAGAAGAUGCCACGUCUGGUUUCACUAAUUCCUAUCAUUCUUCUCUUCUCGGCUAUAGAUAUGACAAUGUUCCGGCCUUUUCUCGUUAAUUCCUUCAACGUCGGCUUUCCUUACUAGCACAUUCCCAUAUAGAAGUGGCACAUGGAGAAAGUCGAUAGUAACUCUCUACUGGAGUAGUGUAGUGGUGACUUUCAGAAAGGAAGAAACUCAUAAAGGAGAUAGCAUAGAGUGCACCAAUAGUGUAGUCAAUUGAGCA
RNAcentral lists this long non-coding RNA (541 nucleotides) under Oryza brachyantha (malo sina). RNAcentral's name for it is "long non-coding RNA (OBRA_LNC003498)". The record is from RNAcentral. Lineage: Eukaryota; Viridiplantae; Streptophyta; Magnoliopsida; Poales; Poaceae.